Molecule: ribosomal RNA, 301 nt
Filed under: uncultured bacterium
Lineage: Bacteria
Description: partial 16S ribosomal RNA
Rfam family: Bacterial small subunit ribosomal RNA
Source: RNAcentral
CAGUAGCCGCGGGAAUACGUAGGGUCCGAGCGUUGUCCGGAAUUAUUGGGCGUAAAGAGCUCGUAGGCGGUCUGUCGCGUCUGCCGUGAAAUCCUCAGGCUCAACCUGAGGCGUGCGGUGGGUACGGGCAGGCUAGAGUGCGGUAGGGGAGAAUGGAACUCCUGGUGUAGCGGUGGAAUGCGCAGAUAUCAGGAAGAACACCGAUGGCGAAGGCAGUUCUCUGGGCCGUAACUGACGCUGAGGAGCGAAAGCGUGGGGAGCGAACAGGAUUAGAUACCCCGGUAGUCCCUGUCUCUUAUAC